AUCCGGGUUGCGGACAGUGUCUGGUGGGUAGUUUGACUGGGGCGGUCUCCUCCUAAAGAGUAACGGAGGAGCACGAAGGUUGGCUAAUCCUGGUCGGACAUCAGGAGGUUAGUGCAAUGGCAUAAGCCAGCUUGACUGCGAGCGUGACGGCGCGAGCAGGUGCGAAAGCAGGUCAUAGUGAUCCGGUGGUUCUGAAUGGAAGGGCCAUCGCUCAACGGAUAAAAGGUACUCCGGGGAUAACAGGCUGAUACCGCCCAAGAGUUCAUAUCGACGGCGGUGUUUGGCACCUCGAUGUCGGCUCAUCACAUCCUGGGGCUGAAGUAGGUCCCAAGGGUAUGGCUGUUCGCCAUUUAAAGUGGUACGCGAGCUGGGUUUAGAACGUCGUGAGACAGUUCGGUCCCUAUCUGCCGUGGGCGCUGGAGAACUGAGGGGGGCUGCUCCUAGUACGAGAGGACCGGAGUGGACGCAUCACUGGUGUUCGGGUUGUCAUGCCAAUGGCACUGCCCGGUAGCUAAAUGCGGAAGAGAUAAGUGCUGAAAGCAUCUAAGCACGAAACUUGCCCCGAGAUGA
RNAcentral lists this ribosomal RNA (570 nucleotides) under Escherichia coli. RNAcentral's name for it is "partial 23S ribosomal RNA". It matches the Rfam family "Bacterial large subunit ribosomal RNA", at positions 2238 to 2807 of the family's 2925-position model. Lineage: Bacteria; Pseudomonadati; Pseudomonadota; Gammaproteobacteria; Enterobacterales; Enterobacteriaceae. The record is from RNAcentral. RNAcentral also lists the same sequence under 5 other names.